RNAcentral lists this ribosomal RNA (560 nucleotides) under uncultured bacterium. Its description in RNAcentral is "bacterial SSU rRNA". It matches the Rfam family "Bacterial small subunit ribosomal RNA", at positions 338 to 916 of the family's 1533-position model. The record is from RNAcentral.
CCUACGGGAGGCAGCAGUGGGGAAUCUUGCGCAAUGGGCGAAAGCCUGACGCAGCCAUGCCGCGUGAAUGAUGAAGGUCUUAGGAUUGUAAAAUUCUUUCACCGGGGACGAUAAUGACGGUACCCGGAGAAGAAGCCCCGGCUAACUUCGUGCCAGCAGCCGCGGUAAUACGAAGGGGGCUAGCGUUGCUCGGAAUUACUGGGCGUAAAGGGAGCGUAGGCGGAUAGUUUAGUCAGAGGUGAAAGCCCAGGGCUCAACCUUGGAAUUGCCUUUGAUACUGGCUAUCUUGAGUGUGGGAGAGGUUAGCGGAACUCCGAGUGUAGAGGUGAAAUUCGUAGAUAUUCGGAAGAACACCAGUGGCGAAGGCGGCUAACUGGCCCAUUACUGACGCUGAGGCUCGAAAGCGUGGGGAGCAAACAGGAUUAGAUACCCUGGUAGUCCACGCCGUAAACGAUGAGUGCUGGUUGUCGGCAUGCAUGCAUGUCGGUGACGCAGCUAACGCAUUAAGCACUCCGCCUGGGGAGUACGGUCGCAAGAUUAAAACUUAAAGGAAUUGACGG